RNAcentral lists this ribosomal RNA (500 nucleotides) under uncultured bacterium. Its description in RNAcentral is "partial 16S ribosomal RNA". It matches the Rfam family "Bacterial small subunit ribosomal RNA", at positions 30 to 523 of the family's 1533-position model. The record is from RNAcentral.
AUUGAACGCUGGCGGCAUGCCUUACACAUGCAAGUCGAACGGCAGCACGGGAGCAAUCCUGGUGGCGAGUGGCGAACGGGUGAGUAAUAUAUCGGAACGUGCCCAGUCGUGGGGGAUAACGUAGCGAAAGCUACGCUAAUACCGCAUACGAUCUAUGGAUGAAAGCGGGGGAUCCCAAGACCUCGCGCGAUUGGAGCGGCCGAUAUCAGAUUAGGUAGUUGGUGAGGUAAAGGCUCACCAGGCCGACGAUCUGUAGCUGGUCUGAGAGGACGACCAGCCACACUGGGACUGAGACACGGCCCAGACUCCUACGGGAGGCAGCAGUGGGGAAUUUUGGACAAUGGGCGCAAGCCUGAUCCAGCAAUGCCGCGUGCAGGAUGAAGGCCUUCGGGUUGUAAACUGCUUUUGUACGGAACGAAACGGUGAGCUCUAAUACAGUUUGCUAAUGACGGUACCGUAAGAAUAAGCACCGGCUAACUACGUGCCAGCAGCCGCAGUAA